UACGGAGGAUCCAAGCGUUAUCCGGAAUCAUUGGGUUUAAAGGGUCCGUAGGCGGUUUGGUAAGUCAGUGGUGAAAGCCCAUCGCUUAACGAUGGGACGGCCAUUGAUACUGCCAGACUUGAAUUACUGGGAAGUAACUAGAAUAUGUAGUGUAGCGGUGAAAUGCUUAGAUAUUACAUGGAAUACCAAUUGCGAAGGCAGGUUACUACCAGUGGAUUGACGCUGAUGGACGAAAGCGUGGGGAGCGAACAGG
RNAcentral lists this ribosomal RNA (253 nucleotides) under uncultured bacterium. RNAcentral describes it as "partial 16S ribosomal RNA". It matches the Rfam family "Bacterial small subunit ribosomal RNA", at positions 524 to 776 of the family's 1533-position model. The record is from RNAcentral.